AGUGAACGCUGGCGGUAGGCCUAACACAUGCAAGUCGAACGGCAGCACAGUAAGAGCUUGCUCUUACGGGUGGCGAGUGGCGGACGGGUGAGGAAUACAUCGGAAUCUACUUUUUCGUGGGGGAUAACGUAGGGAAACUUACGCUAAUACCGCAUACGACCUUCGGGUGAAAGCAGGGGAUCUUCGGACCUUGCGCGUUUGAAUGAGCCGAUGUCGGAUUAGCUAGUUGGCGGGGUAAAGGCCCACCAAGGCGACGAUCCGUAGCUGGUCUGAGAGGAUGAUCAGCCACACUGGAACUGAGACACGGUCCAGACUCCUACGGGAGGCAGCAGUGGGGAAUAUUGGACAAUGGGCGCAAGCCUGAUCCAGCCAUACCGCGUGGGUGAAGAAGGCCUUCGGGUUGUAAAGCCCUUUUGUUGGGAAAGAAAAGCAGCAGGUUAAUACCCCGCUGUUCUGACGGUACCCAAAGAAUAAGCACCGGCUAACUUCGUG
This 492-nucleotide ribosomal RNA is filed under the name uncultured bacterium. RNAcentral describes it as "partial 16S ribosomal RNA". It matches the Rfam family "Bacterial small subunit ribosomal RNA", at positions 29 to 507 of the family's 1533-position model. The record is from RNAcentral.